GUCUACGGCUGUACCACCCUGAACUCUCCCGAUCUCAUCUGAUCUCGGAAGCUAAACAGGGUCGGGCCUGGUUAGUACUUGGAUGGGAGAGAGCCACUAUUUUCUUCUACU
Molecule: ribosomal RNA, 111 nt
Filed under: Felis catus (domestic cat)
Lineage: Eukaryota; Metazoa; Chordata; Mammalia; Carnivora; Felidae
Source: RNAcentral